GUCAAGCGAAUAAGCGCACACGGUGGAUGCCUUGGCGGUCAGAGGCGAUGAAGGACGUGGCAGCCUGCGAAAAGUAUCGGGGAGCUGGCAACAAGCUUUGAUCCGGUAAUGUCCGAAUGGGGAAACCCACCCGCUUGCGGGUAUCCUGCAGUGAAUACAUAGCUGCUGGAAGCGAACCUGGUGAACUGAAAUAUCUAAGUAACCAGAGGAAAAGAAAUCAACCGAGAUUCCGUAAGUAGCGACGAGCGAACGCGGACUAGCCCUUAAGCUGAUUUGGUUCUAGGAAAACGCUCUGGAAAGAGCGGCCAUAGAAGGUGAUAGCCCUGUAUCUGAAAGGGCCAUUUCAGUGAAGACGAGUAGGGCGGGGCACGUGAAACCCUGUCUGAACAUGGGGGGACCAUCCUCCAAGGCUAAAUACUACUGACCGACCGAUAGUGAACCAGUACCGUGAGGGAAAGGCGAAAAGAACCCCGGAGAGGGGAGUGAAAUAGAACCUGAAACCGUGUGCGUACAAGCAGUAGGAGCUCCGCAAGGAGUGACUGCGUACCUUUUGUAUAAUGGGUCAGCGACUUACUGUUCGUGGCAAGCUUAACCGUAUAGGGGAGGCGAAGGGAAACCGAGUCUGAUAAGGGCGCAUAGUCGCGGGCAGUAGACCCGAAACCGGGUGAUCUAGUCAUGCCCAGGGUGAAGGUGCGGUAACACGCACUGGAGGCCCGAACCCACUCCCGUUGCAAAGGUAGGGGAUGAGGUGUGAUUAGGAGUGAAAAGCUAAUCGAACCCGGAGAUAGCUGGUUCUCCUCGAAAGCUAUUUAGGUAGCGCCUCAUAUGUAUCCUCUCGGGGGUAGAGCACUGUUAUGGCUAGGGGGUCAUCGCGACUUACCAAACCAUUGCAAACUCCGAAUACCGAGACGGACUGUAUGGGAGACACACGGCGGGUGCUAACGUCCGUCGUGAAAAGGGAAACAACCCAGACCCACAGCUAAGGUCCCAAAUUCACUGCUAAGUGGAAAACCAUGUGGAAAGGCACAGACAGCCAGGAGGUUGGCUUAGAAGCAGCCACCCUUUAAAGAAAGCGUAAUAGCUCACUGGUCGAGUCGGUCUGCGGGGAAGAUUUAACGGGGCUAAGCAGUGAACCGAAGCUUGGGGUGCAUAACUUUGUUAUGCGCGGUAGAGGAGCGUUCCGUAAGCCGUUGAAGGUGGAUUGAGAAGUCUGCUGGAGGUAUCGGAAGUGCGAAUGCUGACAUGAGUAACGAUAAUGCGGGUGAAAAACCCGCACGCCGAAAGCCCAAGGUUUCCUUGCGCAACGUUAAUCGGCGCAGGGUGAGUCGGCCCCUAAGGCGAGGACGAAAGUCGUAGUCGAUGGGAAGCAGGUUAAUAUUCCUGCACCUCGCGUAAGUGCGAUGGAGGGACGGAGAAGGUUAGGUGUACCAGGCGUUGGUUGUCCUGGGGAAAGGCGGUAGGUUUGGAUCUUUGGCAAAUCCGGGAUCCUUUAAGACCGAGCACCGAGACGAGCCUUUAAGGCGAAGUCACUGAUACCACGCUUCCAGGAAAAGCUCCUAAGCUUCAGCUUACGCAGACCGUACCGUAAACCGACACAGGUGGGUAGGAUGAGAAUUCUCAGGCGCUUGAGAGAACUCGGGUGAAGGAACUAGGCAACAUGGCACCGUAACUUCGGGAGAAGGUGCACCCUUUUUGGUGGCUCGUGCGAGCUAUAGCUGAAGAGGGUCGCAGUAACCAGGCCGCUGCGACUGUUUAUCAAAAACACAGCACUCUGCAAACACGAAAGUGGACGUAUAGGGUGUGACGCCUGCCCGGUGCUGGAAGGUUAAUUGAUGGGGUCAGCCGCAAGGCGAAGCUCUUGAUCGAAGCCCCAGUAAACGGCGGCCGUAACUAUAACGGUCCUAAGGUAGCGAAAUUCCUUGUCGGGUAAGUUCCGACCUGCACGAAUGGCGUAACGACAGCGGCGCUGUCUCCACCCGAGACUCAGUGAAAUUGAAAUCGCUGUGAAGAUGCAGCGUUCCCGUGGCAAGACGGAAAGACCCCGUGAACCUUUACUAUAGCUUUACACUGAACGUUGAGUUCGUCUGUGUAGGAUAGGUGGGAGGCUAUGAAACUGUGGCGCUAGCUGCAGUGGAGCCAUCCUUGAAAUACCACCCUGUCGUGCUUGACGUUCUAACCUGGGCCCAUUAUCUGGGUCGGGGACCGUGUAUGGUGGGUAGUUUGACUGGGGCGGUCUCCUCCUAAAGAGUAACGGAGGAGCUCGAAGGUACGCUCAGCGCGGUCGGACAUCGCGCACUGUGUGCAAAGGCAUAAGCGUGCUUGACUGCAAGAUCGACGGAUCAAGCAGGUAGGAAACUAGGACUUAGUGAUCCGGUGGUUCUGUAUGGAAGGGCCAUCGCUCAACGGAUAAAAGGUACUCCGGGGAUAACAGGCUGAUACCGCCCAAGAGUUCAUAUCGACGGCGGUGUUUGGCACCUCGAUGUCGGCUCAUCACAUCCUGGGGCUGUAGUCGGUCCCAAGGGUAUGGCUGUUCGCCAUUUAAAGUGGUACGCGAGCUGGGUUCAGAACGUCGUGAGACAGUUCGGUCCCUAUCUGCCAUGGGCGUUGGAGAUUUGAGAGGGGCUGCUCCUAGUACGAGAGGACCGGAGUGGACGAACCUCUGGUGUUCCGGUUGUCACGCCAGUGGCAUUGCCGGGUAGCUAUGUUCGGAAGCGAUAACCGCUGAAAGCAUCUAAGCGGGAAGCGCGCCUCAAGAUGAGAUCUCCCGGGGCACAAGCCCCCUGAAGGAACCAUGUAGACUACGUGGUUGAUAGGUCAGGUGUGUAAGUACAGCAAUGUAUUGAGCUAACUGAUACUAAUGAUCCGUGCGGCUUGACC
RNAcentral lists this ribosomal RNA (2877 nucleotides) under Stenotrophomonas maltophilia. Its description in RNAcentral is "Bacterial large subunit ribosomal RNA". It matches the Rfam family "Bacterial large subunit ribosomal RNA". Lineage: Bacteria; Pseudomonadati; Pseudomonadota; Gammaproteobacteria; Lysobacterales; Lysobacteraceae. The record is from RNAcentral.